UACUGUAUGUUCAUUUUAAAGCCUAUGUAUAAAUUCUAAGAACGGUGAUUUAAUUGACAAGCGUGAAUGCAAGCUCAUAGUCCACCCCUAUCAUUUGAAUCAAAUAAUUUUCACAGUGUAUUAAUUUUUUGUUUUUUGUUUUGUUUUUGGAAUUAUCACCACCACCCUAUAAUGGGUUCCAUGAUUAUGUAUGAGGUUAAUCAUAAAGAUUAUCUAGAGAGUUUAUGGAGUUAGACAAAUAAUCGGCUAUACACGUUGUUAUACAUAAUAGAGAUCCAUAUUUUUUUCUAAAAUAA
Molecule: long non-coding RNA, 296 nt
Filed under: Capsella rubella
Lineage: Eukaryota; Viridiplantae; Streptophyta; Magnoliopsida; Brassicales; Brassicaceae
Description: long non-coding RNA (CRUB_LNC001338)
Source: RNAcentral